Long non-coding RNA from Solea senegalensis (Senegalese sole), 145 nucleotides. RefSeq lists it as uncharacterized. NCBI's taxonomy places the organism in Eukaryota, Metazoa, Chordata, Actinopteri, Pleuronectiformes, Soleidae. The record is from RefSeq and is a predicted model, not a curated record. The transcript has 2 exons.
AUAUAUAUUUAUUUAUUUAUUCUGGUCAAGAUUAUUUUCCCUAAUGGCUGAGAAAUUGAAACUCCUGUCUUUCCUGUGGCUAAUAAUAGCCUGUAUUGCAAACCAGACUGCAAACUCAACCACGACGAUGCCACCUUCUGUCAAC